This 488-nucleotide ribosomal RNA is filed under the name uncultured soil bacterium. RNAcentral's name for it is "bacterial SSU rRNA". It matches the Rfam family "Bacterial small subunit ribosomal RNA", at positions 26 to 529 of the family's 1533-position model. The record is from RNAcentral.
AGAAUGAACGCUGGCGGCGUGCUUUACACAUGCAAGUCGAGCGAGGCGGGUAGCAAUACCCAGUCGAGCGGCGAACGGGUGAGUAACACGUGGAUCAUCUACCUUCAGGUGGGGGAUAACCCGGGGAAACUCGGGCUAAUACCGCAUAACAUCGUGAGAUCAAAGGGGCGCAAGUCCCGCCAGAAGAGGAGUCCGCGUUCGAUUAGCUAGUUGGUAGGGUAAUGGCCUACCAAGGCGACGAUCGAUAGCCGGCCUGAGAGGGUGAUCGGCCACACUGGAACUGAGACACGGUCCAGACUCCUACGGGAGGCAGCAGUGGGAAUUUGCGCAAUGGGCGAAAGCCUGACGCAGCAACGCCGCGUGGAGGAUGAAGGUCUUUGGAUUGUAAACUCCUGUCAGCAGGAAAAGGGUCUGGCCACACCAGAUCAUUGAUUGUACCUGCAGAGGAAGCCCGGCUAACUCUGUGCCAGCAGCCGCGGUAAUCGUGA